UUUAUCGGAGAGUUUGAUCCUGGCUCAGGACGAACGCUGGCGGCGUGCCUAAUACAUGCAAGUCGAGCGGACAGAUGGGAGCUUGCUCCCUGAUGUUAGCGGCGGACGGGUGAGUAACACGUGGGUAACCUGCCUGUAAGACUGGGAUAACUCCGGGAAACCGGGGCUAAUACCGGAUGCUUGUUUGAACCGCAUGGUUCAGACGUAAAAGGUGGCUUCGGCUACCACUUACAGAUGGACCCGCGGCGCAUUAGCUAGUUGGUGAGGUAACGGCUCACCAAGGCGACGAUGCGUAGCCGACCUGAGAGGGUGAUCGGCCACACUGGGACUGAGACACGGCCCAGACUCCUACGGGAGGCAGCAGUAGGGAAUCUUCCGCAAUGGACGAAAGUCUGACGGAGCAACGCCGCGUGAGUGAUGAAGGUUUUCGGAUCGUAAAGCUCUGUUGUUAGGGAAGAACAAGUGCCGUUCAAAUAGGGCGGCACCUUGACGGUACCUAACCAGAAAGCCACGGCUAACUACGUGCCAGCAGCCGCGGUAAUACGUAGGUGGCAAGCGUUGUCCGGAAUUAUUGGGCGUAAAGGGCUCGCAGGCGGUUUCUUAAGUCUGAUGUGAAAGCCCCCGGCUCAACCGGGGAGGGUCAUUGGAAACUGGGGAACUUGAGUGCAGAAGAGGAGAGUGGAAUUCCACGUGU
RNAcentral lists this ribosomal RNA (694 nucleotides) under Bacillus velezensis. Its description in RNAcentral is "bacterial SSU rRNA". It matches the Rfam family "Bacterial small subunit ribosomal RNA", at positions 1 to 676 of the family's 1533-position model. The record is from RNAcentral. Lineage: Bacteria; Bacillati; Bacillota; Bacilli; Caryophanales; Bacillaceae.